Molecule: non-coding RNA, 21 nt
Filed under: Caenorhabditis elegans
Lineage: Eukaryota; Metazoa; Nematoda; Chromadorea; Rhabditida; Rhabditidae
Source: RNAcentral
UUAAAUCACCAUUAUCGUCUC